This 386-nucleotide ribosomal RNA is filed under the name uncultured organism. Its description in RNAcentral is "partial 16S ribosomal RNA". It matches the Rfam family "Bacterial small subunit ribosomal RNA", at positions 527 to 897 of the family's 1533-position model. The record is from RNAcentral.
GUAGGGAGCAAACGUUGUCCGGAUUUAUUGGGGCGUAAAGGGCUCGUAGGCGGUUCAACAAGUCGGAUCGUGAAAGCCCCGGGGGGGCUCAACCCCCGGGGAGGGCCGGGUCGAAACUGUUGUGACUAGAGUUCGGUAGGGGUGAGUGGAAUUCUCGGUGUAGCGGUGGAAUGCGCAGAUAUCGAGAGGAACACCAUUAGCGAAGGCGGCUCACUGGGCCGAUACUGACGCUGAGGAGCGAAAGCGUGGGGAGCAAACAGGAUUAGAUACCCUGGUAGUCCACGCCGUAAACGAUGAACACUAGGUGUAGCGGACUGAUUCACGUCUGCUGCGCCGUAGCUAACGCAUUAAGUGUUCCGCCUGGGGAGUACGGCCGCAAAGGCUAA